This 253-nucleotide ribosomal RNA is filed under the name uncultured bacterium. RNAcentral describes it as "partial 16S ribosomal RNA". It matches the Rfam family "Bacterial small subunit ribosomal RNA", at positions 524 to 776 of the family's 1533-position model. The record is from RNAcentral.
UACGGAGGAUGCAAGCGUUAUCCGGAAUGAUUGGGCGUAAAGCGUCCGCAGGUGGCAAUGUAAGUCUGCUGUUAAAGAGUCUAGCUCAACUAGAUAAAAGCAGUGGAAACUACAUAGCUAGAGUACGUUCGGGGCAGAGGGAAUUCCUGGUGUAGCGGUGGAAUGCGUAGAGAUCAGGAAGAACACCGGUGGCGAAGGCGCUCUGCUAGGCCGUAACUGACACUGAGGGACGAAAGCUAGGGGAGCGAAUGGG